This 232-nucleotide non-coding RNA is filed under the name Enterococcus columbae. Its description in RNAcentral is "T-box sequence". It matches the Rfam family "T-box leader". From Rfam's summary of the family: Uncharged tRNA acts as the effector for transcription antitermination of genes in the T-box leader family. The record is from RNAcentral. Lineage: Bacteria; Bacillati; Bacillota; Bacilli; Lactobacillales; Enterococcaceae.
AUGAGUACUUUGAUGAGAAGAGUAGCUUGAUGAAAUAGUUAAAGAGAAUCCGGUUGGUGAGAAAGGAUGCUAGGCAGUUAAGUGAAGAUGAGCUCUGAGUUUCCAAAUUGUUCACGCAGUUUGGACGGGAAUGACCGUUAUAUCAUCGGGUUUCAAUAGGAACCUUUUGAGGUAUAGUCUGUGAAGGCUAUAUAAAUUAGGGUGGUAACACGAUUUUUCAGUCGUCCCUUUA